AUGGGUGAGCAAAAAGAAGGUGCCAAGACUGAGGUUGCUCGCUCUCGUGAUAAUUACAUGUCAUGGAGUGAUGAUUGUACCAAGUAUUUGCUUGAGUGGUAUGUCGAGAAGCAAAGGGACAAGCCACCAACCUUCAAGUGGAAGGCACAACACCAUCUACAAUGUGCUAAUGAUCUGAAUGACAAGUUUGGAAUUACAGCUACAGCAAAACAAGUUGAUCGACACUUUAGGUCAUUCAAGGAGAAAUGGAAGUGGAUAAAGCUAGCAAAGGGGAGGAGCGGAUAUGGUUUCGAUAAAGUACUUAACAAAUUUAACAUUGACAAGUCAGAGAAAUCACCAAGCAAGCUUGGUAAAAUAAAAUUUAACUACCUUACUCACUCCAUCAAGUUUUAUCAUCUCCUAGAAGAACUGUUUAGUGACUCGUCUCAUGCGGAUGGCUCACUAGCUAUUGAUGUGAAUGAUGCAAUUGAGAAUGUGGAAUCUGAUGGUAGUAGUGAAACGAGCAACCACACAUCCACUGCCGAACAAGGUCUUAGUGAUUCCGACAUGAUUGCGCCCAACAGUCUAGCAGAAGGCACUAGCUCAAAUCUGAAGCGCAAGCAUGUUAAAGCACCACAUAAGAAGAAACCAAAGGUCAAGGCGCGUCGAGCCAGCGUGUUAGAUGAUGAUGUGGCAGCGAGCAUUGUGAGUCUUGCUAAAACUGUGAAAUCUACUACCCCUAUUCAGCCAAUAGCAGUUACAGACCCCAAUGCCAAUCUUUGGAAACACAUUGAGUCGCUAACUAUCCCAGCAAAUGAGAAGAUUGAGUUAGCAGCCUAUCUUGCUAAGCCAGAACAAGAAAUUUUCCGUGGUUUCCUGAACUGUGCAAGCGUCCAGACUUUUAAUGCUUGGGUCCUUGAUUAUUUCGCGCACAAGUACGACGGCAACAAUCGCACAGCUGCUGAUCCAUCAAUCUGA
This 957-nucleotide ribosomal RNA is filed under the name Triticum aestivum (bread wheat). Its description in RNAcentral is "partial small subunit ribosomal RNA". Lineage: Eukaryota; Viridiplantae; Streptophyta; Magnoliopsida; Poales; Poaceae. The record is from RNAcentral.